UGGAUCGAUGAUGAUUUCUGGUCAUCAUCAUUAUGAAUCAUAUGCAAUGAAAGUGUGUCUGGAACUCUGAGGCCCAA
This 77-nucleotide small nucleolar RNA is filed under the name Moschus moschiferus (Siberian musk deer). RNAcentral describes it as "Small nucleolar RNA SNORD113/SNORD114 family (ENSMMSG00000004569.1)". It matches the Rfam family "Small nucleolar RNA SNORD113/SNORD114 family". From Rfam's summary of the family: The imprinted human domain at 14q32 contains two clusters of tandemly repeated small nucleolar RNAs named 14q(I) and 14q(II) snoRNAs. These two clusters are named SNORD113 and SNORD114 respectively in the HGNC approved gene symbol nomenclature. The snoRNAs found in both clusters are clearly related and are represented here by a single family. Lineage: Eukaryota; Metazoa; Chordata; Mammalia; Artiodactyla; Moschidae. The record is from Rfam by way of RNAcentral.